This 433-nucleotide ribosomal RNA is filed under the name uncultured bacterium. Its description in RNAcentral is "partial 16S ribosomal RNA". It matches the Rfam family "Bacterial small subunit ribosomal RNA", at positions 29 to 507 of the family's 1533-position model. The record is from RNAcentral.
AGCGAACGCUGGCGGCAGGCCUAACACAUGCAAGUCGAACGAACUCUUCGGAGUUAGUGGCGGACGGGUGAGUAACACGUGGGAACGUGCCUUUUGGUUCGGAAUAACUCAGGGAAACUUGUGCUAAUACCGCAUGUGCCCUUCGGGGGAAAGAUUUAUCGCCAUUAGGGCGGCCCGCGUCUGAUUAGCUAGUUGGGGAGGUAACGGCUCACCAAGGCGACGAUCAGUAGCUGGUCUGAGAGGAUGACCAGCCACACUGGGACUGAGACACGGCCCAGACUCCUACGGGAGGCAGCAGUGGGGAAUCUUGCGCAAUGGGCGAAAGCCUGACGCAGCCAUGCCGCGUGAAUGAUGAAGGUCUUAGGAUUGUAAAAUUCUUUCACCGGGGACGAUAAUGACGGUACCCGGAGAAGAAGCCCCGGCUAACUUCGUG